GAUCCUAGGUUUAUCUUUCCUUUUUCUUGUUUAAUCGCGGGUCCGAGCGGGUGUGGAAAGACCUAUUUUGUAAAAAAUGUAUUGGAAAACUGUGACCGUGUAAUAAAUGUUGUACCUGACAAUAUCGUGUGGAAAGACCUAUUUUGUAAAAAAUGUAUUGGAAAACUGUGACCGUGUAAUAAAUGUUGUACCUGACAAUAUCGUGUGGAUUUAUACCUCUUUUCAACCUAUGUACACUGAACUGCAAAAGAUGAUUAAAAACAUUAAAUUUGUCAAAGGUCUGCCCGAUACUUUUGAAGAUGAAACACUGUUUCCUCCUGAUCAAAAGCAUUUGAUUAUUUUGGACGAUGUUAUUUUUCAAGCCUCUGACCAUCCUGAAGUGGUAAAGAUUUUUACACAGUAUCGCCACCACAGAAACAUGAGUGUUAUGAUGUUGACUCAAAACGUGUUUCACCAGGGUAAACACAGUCGCACCAUCAGUUUGAACAGCAAUUAUUUGGUCAUGUUUAAAAACCCACGGGAUAAACUACAAAUGAAUAUAUUGGCUCAUCAGAUUUUUCCAUCACAAAAGACAUUUUUCUUGGAGAGUUUUGAAGACGCCACAAAAGACCCUCACGGGUAUUUAAUAGUGGAUCUCACCCCCGUCUGCCCAGAUCCGUACAGACUGAGGACGGGUGUACUUCCUCACCAGCAAGCGGCCGUUUACAUCCCCAGAGCGUCGACGUAGAUCAUCAUGUCAGCGCGUAUAAAAAGAAACGCACCCCUGCUGAAGGCCCUGUACCGUGGCACACCCAAGAAACGUAGAGACAUUCUUAUUCACAGCUCCCCGGAUUUUAUCCAGACACUGUGUGAGAUUUCUUUAAAUCUUCUAAAAGGAAACGUCCCCCUGACUCCUUCUCAAUUUAAAAAACUGAAGAGACAGAAAAAAAUUAUCAAACUGUUGGCUGAUAAAAGAACCAGUUUAAAGAGGAAGCAACAGGUUCUAAAGAAGCAGACGGGCGGAUUUCUUUUACCUCUCCUCUCAGCGGUGGUACCUUUGAUCGGGAACCUCGUCGGAGGAUUGAUACGAAAAUGACUUUGAAAAAGGCCCAAAAAAUGUUUCUCGUCACCCCUCAUCAACUCAACCGCCUGACGCGACCCUCCCAGUCCAUCAGAGAUGUCGCGGAGGACGAUUUGGAUGCUAGGAUGAGAGCCAUCUUAAACGAG
Molecule: long non-coding RNA, 1206 nt
Filed under: Takifugu rubripes (torafugu)
Lineage: Eukaryota; Metazoa; Chordata; Actinopteri; Tetraodontiformes; Tetraodontidae
Description: lncRNA (ENSTRUG00000030739.1)
Source: RNAcentral